UACGGGGGGGGCAAGAGUUGUUCGGAAUUACUGGGCGUAAAGGGCUCGUAGGCGGCCAACUAAGUCAGACGUGAAAUCCCUCGGCUUAACCGGGGAACUGCGUCUGAUACUGGAUGGCUUGAGUUUGGGAGAGGGAUGCGGAAUUCCAGGUGUAGCGGUGAAAUGCGUAGAUAUCGUAAGGAAGACCAGUGGCGAAGGCGGGUCUCUGGACAGUUCCUGACGCUGAGGCACGAAGGUCAGGGGAGCAAACGGG
RNAcentral lists this ribosomal RNA (253 nucleotides) under uncultured bacterium. RNAcentral's name for it is "partial 16S ribosomal RNA". It matches the Rfam family "Bacterial small subunit ribosomal RNA", at positions 524 to 776 of the family's 1533-position model. The record is from RNAcentral.